Homo sapiens (human) is the source of this 1164-nucleotide long non-coding RNA. Lineage: Eukaryota; Metazoa; Chordata; Mammalia; Primates; Hominidae. The record is from Ensembl.
ACUUCUGUUCCUCCCCGCCCUGGUGCUGCUCCGGGUCACAUACUCGUCCUGAGCCGGCUUCAGCCUCUCCGCGCAGAAGUCUCCCGGAGCCGACUUCUGAGAGUCGAGUACUCCUAUGUGAAGACUACCAAGCUCGUGUUCAAGGGAACCAAGGCGAAGAGGUGGGUCCUGCAGCUCUGGCGGGAGCCUUCUCAGUUCUUUUCGGACGCACUCCACCCCCGCGAAUCCGGUGGAAGUCGUGCCGCGGAGAGCUGGCUUUGUGGCAUCCCAGGCUUCGCCCUGGCGCCUGUCCGGGCUGGAUGGAGGCCAGAUAGCGGUUCCUGGCGCCUGUGCAGAGAGGGGCAGCCUCCCGCGCGGACGACCCUGGAAACAGGAUAGACGGGCGGGUGACCCGUGGCCCCGUACCCACGAGUUUGGGUCCCCUGAGGCAUCUCUCCAGGCCUCUGCCUGGCGAGAUGGAAAGAAAGUAUCAAGGAGUGAGCUGAAGCCACUGCCCUUGAGAACCCUCUCGAGGAGUCUGGGCUCAUGAGGAUGCCAGAAUAAGUGGCAGGUAUAUCCUGAAUGAAUGUGAGAUUUUUACUCUGUGAAUUUCCUGUGAGGAGUGUAAGAAGAAAAAGAACAAAGAUAAGAAAAGAAAAAGAGAAGAAGAUGAAGAAACCCAGCUUGAUAUGUUGGAAUCUGGUGGACAGUAACAAACUUUGGUGAAAUUUCAGGAACCAUAGCCAUUGAAAUGGAUGAGGGAACCUAUAUACAUGCACUCGAUAAUGGUCUUUUUACCCUGGGAGCUCCACACAAAGAAGUUGAUGAGGGCCCUAGUCCUCCAGAGCAGUUUUCGGCUGUCAAAUUAUCUGAUUCCAGAAUCACCCUGAAAUCUGGCUAUGGAAAAUAUCUUGGUAUAAAUUCAGAUGAACUUGUUGUUGGGCGUUCAGAUGCAAUUGGACCAAGAGAACAAUGGGAACCAGUCUUUAAAAUUGGGAAAAUGGCUUUGUCGACCUCAAAUAGCUGCUUUAUUAGAUACAGUGAAGCAGAGGACAUAGAAGCAAAAAGUAAAACAGCAGGAGAAGAAGAAAUGAUCAAGAUUAGAUCCUGUGCUGAAAGAGAAACCAAGAAAAAAGAUGACAUUCCAGAAGAAGACAAAGGAAAUAUAAAACAAUGUGAAAUCAA